Non-coding RNA from Paramuricea clavata, 321 nucleotides. Lineage: Eukaryota; Metazoa; Cnidaria; Anthozoa; Malacalcyonacea; Plexauridae. The record is from the annotation of a GenBank genome assembly.
UUAAAGGUCCGUUUACAUUUGCAAUUUCUGCUGCGAUUUUCUUCUUCUGAUGGAUGUGAACGAGUGGAUAAGUUAUGAAGUGGAUGAGUUACUCGUUCACAUCCUUCAGAAGAAGAAAAUCGCGCUAAAAAUCGCGUAAAAUGGGCCUAAAGCAGCUGGAAAUAGAAGACAUUCGUCAGAAAUUGAAUACACUCCAUUGAGUAUGUGUUCUCUUUUUGUGAGAUUAAAGUCUUUUUUUCACGAAAAUGCUUACCUGAAGUCAGCUGACUCGCUGGGCUCACAGCUGGUUCAAGGUCGCGGUUGCCCUUGCGCAUGCGCGUG